GUUUAACACUCAGAUUUCACCUCCUCCGGGGGCUGACCCGGAUCUCCUAGGCGGAGAUCUUUGAGGUUCCAAAGUACUUGGCCCAAAAGUUAUCCAAGUGUUCUGACGUCAUCGUGCAACCCAAUCAGUGAAGGAUCCUGUCUGGAUAUGCAUUGUCCUAGGCCCACCCACAAACGUUUGGAUUAAAGAUCUGAGACAGGACCCAAAGUUUGAAUUUUUAACAAGAGUGCUUCCCAACCCCCAAAUUGUUCCCAUGUCACGCUGCUGUAUCUCCCCUCACCCACCGAGACUGGGUGCAUCUUGAAGGGAGAGAUGAUAUAUUACUCAUUCGGUGCCCACCACAGGCCCUGCCCAGAACGCAUGCUUAAGGCAUGAAAGAUGGAUGCAUAGAAGCCAAUACAUGAAUUAGUGAACAAACGAAUGAACCCGCCCUCUCCACGUCUGUCCCACCCAUCCAACUCCAGUGACCUGUCCUCCUCAGCCUGACCACCUCUCUUUCUUACAGGGUCGAGGCUCUUUGUGCACCCUCCCAACCGAGUCUUGCAGCUGCAGGUGUGUACACAUGUUCCAGUUCCUCUCCCCAGGGAGAGCAGGAGGUCCACUGGCCAACACUUAUUAAGCACCUGGUGGCCCAGAUUUCAGAACCAAAGCUCAUCACAAGGAAGCAACCUGCAAACCCAACAUUUUCUAAGAUAGAGUGGAUAGAGUUUUGAAAGAAGGUGAACAUUCUGCAUGUCAAGGUGAGGCUGAGGUGCUGUAUCAGAUUAAGGAAGAAUAAAGACCUGUGAUCACUGAAUGCAGUCUUUGGCUCUGGAUUGCAUCCUGUGGCCAGAACAAACAAAAAGACGAAAAAGCUACAGAACACAUGAUUUGG
RNAcentral lists this long non-coding RNA (874 nucleotides) under Callithrix jacchus (white-tufted-ear marmoset). Its description in RNAcentral is "lncRNA (ENSCJAG00000068289.2)". The record is from RNAcentral. Lineage: Eukaryota; Metazoa; Chordata; Mammalia; Primates; Cebidae.